AAACCGUCAGUUAAUCAAACUCUGCAGCAAAAUGUGUCUUCAAACUGGAUAAAGUCAAUGUAUGAUAUAUUCUUGCAAUCCCAAACAUGGAGAAGCGUACGGACAGCAGAGCGUCAUACCUCGUGAAUGAAUUGAAUUGUUGUUGUUAGCAUCUGGAGCUAGCUGCGCUAACGGAUAUAAGGAUCUGUUUCUAGAACAAGGUCGAGGAGAGUCCUCUCCUGUCAGAUUGAGAGGCUCAGAUAACUACAGCUCAGUGAGGUGGACGAAGGAGAGCUGCCAGUGUGCAUGAAUAAACCCCAGCUGAGUGUCUCCACCGCCAUCCCGAUCUGCUGUGUCCUGUUUCCUCCCUGUGCACAACACCCCAUCACAUAAGAAACACAACGCAGAGUCCCAGGGUGUUUAGAGAGGCUACGGGACAUGUGGGUUACAUACACAUAUUUCCAAGACACAUAAAAUGAUAUCAUUAAUAUAGUUAUAAAAAACAACAGAAUAAAUCAGACAGACUGAAAUCAUUCCAAUUAAUGCUAUAGGACAGCAGAACAAAAGACAGUGUGAAAGGGGAGGGAUUAGUUAAAUAUGCAUGAAUACAAAGAAAAAU
Eleginops maclovinus (Patagonian blennie) is the source of this 598-nucleotide long non-coding RNA. RefSeq lists it as uncharacterized. The record is from RefSeq and is a predicted model, not a curated record. The transcript has 2 exons. Lineage: Eukaryota; Metazoa; Chordata; Actinopteri; Perciformes; Eleginopidae.